CUCCGGCCAUAUCAAGUUGAAACACCGAUUCUAGUACAAUCACCGAAGUUAAGCAAUGUCAAGCCUGGUCAGUAUUUAAAUAGGUGAUCGCUUGGGAAUAUCGGGUUCUGUAAG
Acanthosepion pharaonis is the source of this 114-nucleotide non-coding RNA. The record is from the annotation of a GenBank genome assembly. NCBI's taxonomy places the organism in Eukaryota, Metazoa, Mollusca, Cephalopoda, Sepiida, Sepiidae.